CUAGCAGACGGUGGGGUUUCUUCUGGUGAUCUUCGCCUUUUCCUUAAGUAAAAACAUGAUUUAAAAAUGAAAAUCGGUGAGCUUUUUGAGCUAUGCUUACAUGAUGUUCAUUCUGGUUAGUUGAUAUUCUAUUCUUCAAUUUGGGAAUUAUUGGGAGGAAAUAGAUUUUCACUCAAUUGAUCAAGGUAGUGCUUAUUAGUUGGUGGGUUUGUGAAGCAAGAUUUGAGGUGUGUUGGUAAAAUUGUAUGGGAAAGACAACGAAGGGAUCAAGUAAAAUUGUUGUUGGUGCACAGGAAUCAGCUUCUUCUCGUCGUAUGCCACCAAGAUCUGCAUUUCAAGAUAUACGCCAGCAAUCAUCUGCUGGUACUUCGUCGCCUGCUCCUGGUUAUGGAAGUGAUAGUACAUGUGAGGCAUCUGAGCUUGGAACACCGGGCCAAGUAUGGGAACACAGCUCUGAAAUCGGUACAAUGGAUCUUGACCUUGAUCAAGAUUUGGCCUCCUUGAUAGAAACACUCACAUUUAGCAUGUUUAGUUAUGAUUACGAUUUUUUUACGGGAAGAAAUAUGCUAGAGAAGCCAAAGGGUUUCCAAGGCAUAACUCAAUGCAACCAAGAAAGUGCUCUUGUUAAAGAUGUAACUGAUGUUUCCAAGCUUGAAUCUUUUUAGGAUGGACUGUCUUUCUGAACAUGAGUAUGGUAGGUUGUCCAGUCAUGGCAUGCAGGAAACAUUAUACGGAGAGUGUUGGAAGUGACAUGAGUUCCAUUAGAGUUUGUGAAAUAUCCAAUACUGGGAUUCACUUGGUGAUGGUUUCCUUGAAUUCGGUGGAAGUGCAGAAGCCUUAACAACAGAAAUGGAGUUCCCAGAUACACAAACUGUUCUUUCAUUAGAUCCGCGCCAGAAAAUGAAUAGAGUUCUUCUCACUAUGCAAGGGAAUUGGGUACUGCAAGAAGCCUAGAACGGACAUGGAGGAUCUUAUAAUAAGACUAAAUCAAGAAAUUGCGAUGAAGAACUUUCUUACAACCAAGGUAUGCCCUUUUCGUUCUUUGUGCAAUCUGGAAAUCGUUCCUUUUUAACGGAUCCAUAAACUACAUAUAAGAUGACACUGUUUAGUUCUCGACAUUUUCUUUGACAUUGAUGAGAAAAAAAUAUUUUUCGAAUCCUUGUUUAUGGUGGCAAGUAAAAAUUUACACCGAGAAUUAGUUGUUGGAACUUGGAUCAUCUACCUGAACAGUACAAAAAUGUUGCAAGAUAUGUGUUAUAUUGUCUUUUUGGUUAGUAGGUCCGGUUCAUAUGUAUUUCAAACGUUCCCAGAUAUCUGUCUGUACAUGUUGUAGAGCCGUACUCAUGCGCAUACAUAGUAUUGAUCACUACAUGGUUUAUCUUGUGAUCAAAUAUAACCCAGGCACUAAAUACUGCAUGUUUUAGCCUAGGAUAUUUGGCUGAGGAGUUCACUGUGAUAUUAGCUAGUAUGUUUGUAACACUCUUUCUGUUAGUGGAAUAGAUAAUUUGAUGAGACAUCUCCCCUUUUUUAUGGCUUGCAAGUAUAUGGAAAACGUAGCAGCAUUGUGACAGUGGUGAAGAUAGUUUUUAAAUUUUCUUCCAUUUUUAUCCUUUUUAGCCUAUGGGUGGUCCAGUGGAAUAUACAGAAUGUGUAAGCUAUGAUAUGAGAGAUUAGUUUGUGGUUUAGUUUUAAGGUAGCUCUUAGAUUGAGAAUGUUGUCUUUAUCGCACCCUUUGUGCCAUGUCAUCUCUCGCUGUUGCCAUUUCCUUUCCUUCGUAUUCAAUCAACAUCCUGGUUCUUGUUUUCAGUUACAUUUAUUCUUUCUUAGUUGAACCUGCGCUGGUGUUUCAUGAUGUCCAUUCCCCCAAAAUUAUAUAGUAAGUUUCACAGUUGUGAAGCAGUAGUAUUUAAAUGUAAGCACCAUAGAUCCAUCCAUAUAGGGACAAUUUAGGUUAAUUUUUCAUCCCCGUGUUAAUUGUUUGGUGACAAGUCCAUUUGCCCCUCAUAUUAUGGGAAAAAAAUAGAAAAAAAUUGUUUGGUUAAUUUUUCAUCUCCUUUUACAGCAUACUUGUACAAGCAUAAUGGAAAAAAGCUGAUGCCAGCCAGUCAUUACUCGUUAGGAAAAUAGGCACCUCAUAAAGAAAAUGCUCCUUGUAAUUAGGCAACAGAAAUACUUGCUGAAAAAAGCUACCAUGACUCCCACCAUCUGGUAUUUUUCUCAAUUAUACCAUGUUUUCUUACAUAGCCCUUCUCUUUGUGGAUUGUUAUUUUAUUAUGUAAAGUGAUCAAGACGCUGAUGUCCCCAAGUUGAUUUCCUGUUUCUUCUUUGAAUUGGGAAGUCAGCAUUAUAUGCUAAGUUAGUUGUGUCUGACAUAUCUUAUUCAUUUACAGUUUAGUAAAAUACAUUGCAAUGUGAUGUAAAUGUUAUUUUAUAAAAGGCUUUGCUUGAAGAUUUUGCUUCUACUAAGUUGACAGAUUGUGGUGUAAUCGUCGUCGACGGGUAUCUUCAGUCACUCAAUAUUAAAAAUGUUUUACAUUUGAGCAUAUAAGAACAAGUAUAUGUUUGUUUGGUCAAACGGAUUUUUCAUUUGACUUUUGCAUUUCUUUUAUGUGUGGUUGUGUCCACCUAAGCUGAAAUUCUGUGGGAACAGCUAAAGACCAGACGUGGGUCUUCUAGGGGGAGCACAUAUAGAGUUCACCAACCUUCCAGUUUUCAAUCCAUGGAAGAUCUUCUUGCACUCUUAGAUGAUACUGAUGCAGAGGAAAAUUCAACAAACCUUCCAGUUUGCAAUCCAUGGAAGAUCUUCUUGCAUUCUUAGAUGGUACUGAUGCAGAUGAAAAUGAUUGCUUUGUCUGUGGUUUUUAUCACAAUACUGAUGGACCUGGGUUGCGUGACAUUGAAUCACAGCAGUAACUUGCUCGACUUGCAAGCUGUUCCGGUGUUCAUGUGGUUGCAUCUAUUGAUCAUGUCAAUACGGCACUAUUAUGGCACAAGAAAAUGGUCCACGCAGCUGGUGCUGGCAUCAUGUCCCAACCUUUGCACCAUACAAAAGUUGAAGGGGUGUUUCUUCCGUUGAUUAUUGCCUGUAUCAGGACAGGCCAAAAUGUUUAAACCGCUGCAAUUGUACUUACUUCAGAGUUCGAAACCAAAUGCGCAGAGCGUGUUUAAGGUUCUUGCGCUCGGAUGAAGACGGAAUGGCGUGAACAUUUUCUAGUUAGCCGCCAAAUGGCGCUGCAUUCCCACUUGGCGGAGUGAAGAUUAAGACUAGAAGACACUCCGAUUGGCAGGAUUGUGUUUACAUUCUGAAGCGAUUACGCAGCUGUUGGCUGGAGGAGAUUGGCUGAGUUUGUUAUCUGUAAUGGUGGUAGACUGUUACACUGGAUUGUGUAUAUAAUCUCAAGUUUUCACAUUUAGACUUGGUAAACAUGUUUGGAAGCUAGAAUUUGCAAGAUUCAUGUUGGGCCUUGGCUUCUCUAGUCUAAAUUGGACACUUAGAAUUUCCUUCUCCAAUGUAUCCCCUUUUAUAGCUAAAUUCCCACUUUCCUUCUCAAUGUAUCAAGUGCUGGGAAAGCUAGCUAAUGGAUUUCAAAAAUGAUAAAAAUUACAGAACUGAAGCAAUCAAAA
This is a long non-coding RNA of Papaver somniferum (opium poppy), 3624 nucleotides long. RefSeq lists it as uncharacterized. Lineage: Eukaryota; Viridiplantae; Streptophyta; Magnoliopsida; Ranunculales; Papaveraceae. The record is from RefSeq and is a predicted model, not a curated record. The transcript is spliced from 4 exons.